GUUUUAUAGAGGAGAAAGCUGAUUAUAAUGGUAAAUGAAAUCAGCUAGCAUGAACUGAUUUGUGUUUAUUUAAUUACAAUUAUCAUGCUGAUGACUCUACAUAUUAAGUCUCCACCUAUAGUCCCCUAGGUGCUAAUUUUAAAAACAUGAGUUUUCAUUAAAAAUAAGAAAAGAAACCCCUCCAUAUGCAUUUCAAUAAUUCAAAUUGUAUCGUAAUUUGACUAUUAACACAAAGGAAAAUCAAUGCAACUAAUUCAGAUUUAAAUUUAAGAUUACACAGUGCAAAAGAGGAAAUAGUCUUGGAAAGGGAAGUAGAAAAAUGUAAGAUCCCUCUUAGAGGUCAGAAAAAAUAAAUUCAAAAAUGUGAUUUUUUUUUAAAGGUAGUGUUAACUUGAAGUGGAAAACAAAAAGCAAAAAACCUUUGAAGCAAAGUCAGUUGUGUUUACAAGGGCCUUUGGGUUUUUUUGAUGUUUUAGUGCUUCUGGUUUUUAAAAUGUUGAUUUGUGG
Molecule: long non-coding RNA, 507 nt
Filed under: Marmota monax (woodchuck)
Lineage: Eukaryota; Metazoa; Chordata; Mammalia; Rodentia; Sciuridae
Source: RNAcentral